UGAUAAAAUAAUUUUCUAUUUAUUAUUACAUACAAAGGAACAAAACUAUGGCUCAAAUUCCAUAUUAUUUUUAUGUUUUGAUCAUAUUUGUUUCUCUAUUUAUUGUUGCAACCAAUAGUAGUAGUAACAUUAUAAGUACUGACACUCCUUGCAAAUUACCCUCCGAUUGUCCAGAAAAUUUGUGUACUGCUCCUAAAGUUCGUUGGUGCGUCGAUCGUUUUUGUUCGUGUGUGUAAGUGUUACAGUUGAUGUAAACAUAAUGUUAUAUUAUUUGUAACUAUAUAAUUUUAUUUAUAUACAUGCAUGUAAUGUUUGGUAUACUCUUAUAAUUUUCCUCACACUUUUAUUUAUGGUUUUUUACCUGUUGAAUAAAUUAAAAGUGUGCAACAAAUUUUGUUAUUGUUUAUCUUAAAGAAAUUAUGUUCUGAAUUUAUUAAAAUGUGCCAAGAUUUUAUUAGUGAAAGAACGGGCAUUGGAUAUAGUUUGAUUUUAUUUUGUCAAAAACUUG
This is a long non-coding RNA of Trifolium pratense (red clover), 508 nucleotides long. RefSeq lists it as uncharacterized. The record is from RefSeq and is a predicted model, not a curated record. NCBI's taxonomy places the organism in Eukaryota, Viridiplantae, Streptophyta, Magnoliopsida, Fabales, Fabaceae. The transcript is spliced from 3 exons.